AAGUCGAGCGCUAUACUCAUUGUAGCAAUAUAGUGAGUGUGGAGCGGCGCAAGGGUGCGUAACACGUGGGUAAUUUGCCAUGAAGUUUGGGAUAACUCGCUGAAAGGCGAGCUAAUACCGGAUGUGGUUUCGGAGUGGCAUCACUCUGCAACUAAAGCUGGGGAUCGUAAGACCUGGCGCUUCAUGAUAAGCCCGCGGCCUAUCAGCUAGUUGGUGAGGUAACGGCUCACCAAGGCUAAGACGGGUAGCUGGUCUGAGAGGACGACCAGCCACACUGGAACUGAGACACGGUCCAGACACCUACGGGUGGCAGCAGUCGAGAAUUUUUCUCAAUGGGCGCAAGCCUGAAGGAGCGACGCCGCGUGGGGGAUGAAGGGUUUCGAUCCGUAAACCCCUGUCAUUUGUGAACAAUGGUUAUUAUUUAAAAGAUGAUGACUUGAUAGUAAUGAAAGAGGAAGGGACGGCUAACUCUGUGCCAGCAGCCGCGGUAAUACAGAGGUCCCGAGCGUUGUUCGGAUUCACUGGGCGUAAAGGGUGCGUAGGUGGCAUGUUAAGUUUGAUGUGAAAGCUCAGGGCUUAACCCUGAAAUGGCAUUGAAUACUAGCGUGCUGGAGGUUUGGAGGGGGGGAACUGGAAUUCUCGGUGUAGCAGUGAAAUGCGUAGAUAUCGAGAGGAACACCAGUGGCGAAGGCGAGUCCCUGGACAACACCUGACACUGAGGCACGAAAGCCGGGGGAGCAAACAGGAUUAGAUACCCUGGUAGUCCCGGCCCUAAACGGUGCGCAUUUGCUGUAGGAGGAAUCGA
Molecule: ribosomal RNA, 805 nt
Filed under: uncultured Verrucomicrobiota bacterium
Lineage: Bacteria; Pseudomonadati; Verrucomicrobiota
Description: bacterial SSU rRNA
Rfam family: Bacterial small subunit ribosomal RNA
Source: RNAcentral